Molecule: ribosomal RNA, 1077 nt
Filed under: Pantoea agglomerans
Lineage: Bacteria; Pseudomonadati; Pseudomonadota; Gammaproteobacteria; Enterobacterales; Erwiniaceae
Description: bacterial SSU rRNA
Rfam family: Bacterial small subunit ribosomal RNA
Source: RNAcentral
UGCGCGGCUACCAUGCAAGUCGGGCGGUAACACGGGAAGCUUGCUCCUGGGUGACGAGCGGCGGACGGGUGAGUAAUGUCUGGGAAACUGCCUGAUGGAGGGGGAUAACUACUGGAAACGGUAGCUAAUACCGCAUAACGUCGCAAGACCAAAGAGGGGGACCUUCGGGCCUCUUGCCAUCAGAUGUGCCCAGAUGGGAUUAGCUAGUAGGUGGGGUAACGGCUCACCUAGGCGACGAUCCCUAGCUGGUCUGAGAGGAUGACCAGCCACACUGGAACUGAGACACGGUCCAGACUCCUACGGGAGGCAGCAGUGGGGAAUAUUGCACAAUGGGCGCAAGCCUGAUGCAGCCAUGCCGCGUGUAUGAAGAAGGCCUUCGGGUUGUAAAGUACUUUCAGCGGGGAGGAAGGUGUUGUGGUUAAUAACCACAGCAAUUGACGUUACCCGCAGAAGAAGCACCGGCUAACUCCGUGCCAGCAGCCGCGGUAAUACGGAGGGUGCAAGCGUUAAUCGGAAUUACUGGGCGUAAAGCGCACGCAGGCGGUCUGUCAAGUCGGAUGUGAAAUCCCCGGGCUCAACCUGGGAACUGCAUUCGAAACUGGCAGGCUAGAGUCUUGUAGAGGGGGGUAGAAUUCCAGGUGUAGCGGUGAAAUGCGUAGAGAUCUGGAGGAAUACCGGUGGCGAAGGCGGCCCCCUGGACAAAGACUGACGCUCAGGUGCGAAAGCGUGGGGAGCAAACAGGAUUAGAUACCCUGGUAGUCCACGCCGUAAACGAUGUCGACUUGGAGGUUGUGCCCUUGAGGCGUGGCUUCCGGAGCUAACGCGUUAAGUCGACCGCCUGGGGAGUACGGCCGCAAGGUUAAAACUCAAAUGAAUUGACGGGGGCCCGCACAAGCGGGUGGAGCAUGUGGUUUAAUUCGAUGCAACGCGAAAACCUUACCUACUCUUGACAUCCAGAGAACUUAGCAAAAUGCUUUGGUGCCUUCGGAACUCUGAAACAGGUGCUGCAUGGCUGUCUCAGCUCGUGUUGUGAAUGUUGGGUUAAUUCCCCAACGAGCGCCAAACCCUUUUCUUUUU